Molecule: long non-coding RNA, 394 nt
Filed under: Neogale vison (American mink)
Lineage: Eukaryota; Metazoa; Chordata; Mammalia; Carnivora; Mustelidae
Description: Neovison vison (American mink) lncRNA (ENSNVIG00000012454.1)
Source: RNAcentral
GGACAACCCUGAACGAUUAAGCCUCUUAAUCUUGAAACAGAACCAGGUCUCCUCUUCCCACCUGCCCAGCAGCAUGAGAGCAGCAUGACUGCCCGGCCGCAGGAGAAGCCCCCAGAGCCAGGCCCCCAACUCAACCAUCAGCUGCAGAGGUCAAGGUGUGCACAACAUCUCUGCCCCACGGUGGUGUUCGGUUCAUACCUCAGCCCCCGUGACAAUGUCAAGCCCCCCUCCCUGCACAUGAGUGGUACAGGCCCACAGGAACAUCUGGCUGCAGCCACGUUCACAGACAUGUCAGCCGUGGAAUAGUGUGGACACCUUCUCUCAGCUUCUCAGGGUUUCAGUCCUUUUGGGUUUUGUUUCAUUGACCUUUUUUUAUGGUUUUGUGGCUGGACGU